This 533-nucleotide ribosomal RNA is filed under the name uncultured bacterium. RNAcentral describes it as "partial 16S ribosomal RNA". It matches the Rfam family "Bacterial small subunit ribosomal RNA", at positions 355 to 902 of the family's 1533-position model. The record is from RNAcentral.
UGGGGAAUAUUGCACAAUGGGCGAAAGCCUGAUGCAGCAACGCCGCGUGAGUGAUGAAGGCCUUCGGGUUGUAAAGCUCUGUCUUUUGGGACGAUAAUGACGGUACCAAAGGAGGAAGCCACGGCUAACUACGUGCCAGCAGCCGCGGUAAUACGUAGGUGGCAAGCGUUGUCCGGAUUUACUGGGCGUAAAGGAUGCGUAGGCGGAUUUUUAAGUGAGAUGUGAAAACCCUAAGCUUAACUUGGGGACUGCAUUUCAUACUGGAAAUCUGGAGUGCGGGAGAGGAGAAUGGAAUUCCUAGUGUAGCGGUGAAAUGCGUAGAGAUUAGGAAGAACACCAGUGGCGAAGGCGAUUCUCUGGACCGUAACUGACGCUGAGGCAUGAAAGCGUGGGUAGCAAAACAGGAUUAGAUACCCUGGUAGUCCACGCCGUAAACGAUGAGUACUAGGUGUAGGAGGUAUCGACCCCUUCUGUGCCGCAGUUAACACAAUAAGUACUCCGCCUGGGAAGUACGAUCGCAAGAUUAAAAACUC